AAGACCUUGCGCUUUUGGAGCGGCCGAUGUCUGAUUAGCUAGUUGGUAGGGUAAUGGCCUACCAAAGCUUCGAUCAGUAGCUGGUCUGAGAGGACGAUCAGCCACACUGGGACUGAGACACGGCCCAGACUCCUACGGGAGGCAGCAGUGGGGAAUUUUGGACAAUGGGCGCAAGCCUGAUCCAGCCAUGCCGCGUGAGUGAAGAAGGCCUUCGGGUUGUAAAGCUCUUUCAGCCGGGAAGAAAAGGCUACGACGAAUAAUCGUAGCUCAUGACGGUACCGGAAGAAGAAGCACCGGCUAACUACGUGCCAGCAGCCGCGGUAAUACGUAGGGUGCGAGCGUUAAUCGGAAUUACUGGGCGUAAAGGGUGCGCAGGCGGUUUUGUAAGUCAGAUGUGAAAUCCCCGGGCUUAACCUGGGAACU
RNAcentral lists this ribosomal RNA (423 nucleotides) under uncultured bacterium. RNAcentral's name for it is "bacterial SSU rRNA". It matches the Rfam family "Bacterial small subunit ribosomal RNA", at positions 207 to 622 of the family's 1533-position model. The record is from RNAcentral.